UACGUAGGGUGCAAGCGUUAAUCGGAAUUACUGGGCGUAAAGCGUGCGCAGGCGGUUGUGCAAGACAGAUGUGAAAUCCCCGGGCUUAACCUGGGAACUGCAUUUGUGACUGCACGGCUAGAGUGUGUCAGAGGGGGGUGGAAUUCCACGUGUAGCAGUGAAAUGCGUAGAUAUGUGGAGGAAUACCGAUGGCGAAGGCAGCCCCCUGGGAUAACACUGACGCUCAUGCACGAAAGCGUGGGGAGCAAACAGG
Molecule: ribosomal RNA, 253 nt
Filed under: uncultured bacterium
Lineage: Bacteria
Description: partial 16S ribosomal RNA
Rfam family: Bacterial small subunit ribosomal RNA
Source: RNAcentral